RNAcentral lists this ribosomal RNA (253 nucleotides) under uncultured bacterium. Its description in RNAcentral is "partial 16S ribosomal RNA". It matches the Rfam family "Bacterial small subunit ribosomal RNA", at positions 524 to 776 of the family's 1533-position model. The record is from RNAcentral.
UACAGAGGGCUCAAGCGUUGUUCGGAAUCAUUGGGCGUAAAGGGCGCGUAGGCGGCGCGGUAAGUCGGGUGUGAAAUUUCGGAGCUUAACUCCGAAACUGCAUUCGAUACUGCCGUGCUUGAGGACUGGAGAGGAGACUGGAAUUUACGGUGUAGCAGUGAAAUGCGUAGAGAUCGUAAGGAAGACCAGUGGCGAAGGCGGGUCCCUGGACAGUUACUGACGCUGAGGCACGAAGGCCAGGGGAGCAAACGGG